AAUUCUCAGGGCGGGGUGUAAGUCCCCACCGGUGGUGAUAGCCCACGAGCACUUGAUUUUAUUUAAAAUACAAGGUUAGCAGAUUUGGUGAAAUUCCAAGGCCGACAGUAAAAGUCUGGAUGAAAGAGCGU
Molecule: non-coding RNA, 131 nt
Filed under: Frischella japonica
Lineage: Bacteria; Pseudomonadati; Pseudomonadota; Gammaproteobacteria; Orbales; Orbaceae
Description: FMN riboswitch (RFN element)
Rfam family: FMN riboswitch aptamer (RFN element)
About the family: The RFN element is a highly conserved domain that is found frequently in the 5'-untranslated regions of prokaryotic mRNAs that encode for flavin mononucleotide (FMN) biosynthesis and transport proteins. This element is a metabolite-dependent riboswitch that directly binds FMN in the absence of proteins. In Bacillus subtilis, the riboswitch most likely controls gene expression by causing premature transcription termination within the 5' untranslated region of the ribDEAHT operon and precluding access to the ribosome-binding site of ypaA mRNA.
Source: RNAcentral